GCAAAACAACCAGAGAGAGAGAGAGAGACCAAAAAAAAAUAAAAAAUUGAAAGGAGAGAAAGAGAGAAUGAGAUAUUAAAGAAAUAUCAUAUCUUCAAUGACACACACUUAGUACCAUCGUAAAGCUUCCAGUUAGAUGAAUCGACACAAAACGAAAAGCCAUCUUUAAAGCUUCCGAUGAGUAACACGGGCUGCUUGUUAAUUUUUUUGACAAAAUCCGAUGAACGGUUACAUCGCCUGGGACAAACGUCGUCGUAUUUUUCAACGAAUAAAAAAUGUCCGCCGUGCUAAUAAGAGAAAUUCCUACCUUUUGCUUUUUCCCAUCUCACAGAUAUGUAUUACGAGUUUUUAUUUUUAUUUUUUAUUUUUCUUUGCUAAUUAUUAUUAUUAUUAUUAUUAUUUAUCUUACUUGCGCUUGCUCAGAACAACACGACGGAAAAAAAAAAGAAAGAAGAAAAGGCUAGGAAGAUGCCACUUGUGAUGUCAUCCACAGGUGGUUCCUCCAGGAACAGCAGCGAUUGAAAGAACAACCCCAUAAGCAACAUGAAAAGCAAUGAAACCAAUGGAAGGAAGCUGAUUUUUGACUCACUGGAGCAGGCGAUGACUCCAGAUGCUGCUGCUUCCGCUGCUCCACACCUGCUUUCAGGGAACCACUUCUCAUCCCAUUUGCCAAACUGCAUAACUCCAAGAAAUUUGGAUCAUGAGCUUACAAAGUGCUACUAUAAACCUUGUUUUAUAAUGUAAAUGACAUGACAAUGAUUGUGAAUCAAAUGUAAACAUAAGUAACAUCAUUGGUAUUAAUGAUGGCUCUUGGAAAAAUAAAAUAAAAUGGCAGAGUUUACUGUUU
Molecule: long non-coding RNA, 847 nt
Organism: Populus nigra (black poplar)
Lineage: Eukaryota; Viridiplantae; Streptophyta; Magnoliopsida; Malpighiales; Salicaceae
Exons: 2
Source: RefSeq, a predicted model, not a curated record